UGCGUUCGCUCCGCAAUGUCCUCGUGAACAUUUGACGCACGCCCGAUAUACAUAAACCCUGGUGGCCCGUCGCUGCUACUGCAGGGACUCUACCUUUCCCUAGACCCAUUGGUUUCCUCCAUGAGAAUAUGCGACGUGAUCGAAAGGUGCCACGGAAUUUCGUCUCUACCUUGUUGCUGCUCCGUUUCCGGUUUAUCCACGCCUUAACCUUCCGUUGGUCAGAGGGGGAUCACUGAUCAUCAUGUUAGCCUGGGUCUUGUCUAUAAUAAACACUGUCGUCGACUCUUAUCGGCUAUAGUCGCGUGUGAGCUAAAUUGAGCAUUGAUUACGAUCCAAGGCGGAAGACGUUUACGCCGUUUGUUUUUUUUUGGCCAAUUUCUGGGCCGCGCGGAGUACACGAGUAGUUGGAGCAACCAUCGCUAGAUGGACGCUUGAAGAGGUAAAAAUAGAAAUUAUUGAAAUGGACGAAUCAAAGGCCUCGACCGAUUACUAUGAAAUAUUCGUCAUUAAUUUUGAGAGUCGAUAUCAGCUGAAGAGCGAUCGGACGCAAACUGGAAAUACGUCGUACAUUGUUAAGCCAGUACCACACCUCCAGAGGAGCAGAGCACAAUUUCAUCCAUAACCCGACUACAGUGACGAGUAUUCCCUUACGUUGCCUACAGUCAGGACACCGACGAGUACUCAGGCAUGGCACCAGUAAGAAGUACAGAGGUCUGCGAAAAAAAAAAAGCCAAAGCGUCGCAGACCGCUUGUGCUUUCUACGAGUUCUCAGACCUCCAUUGUCCGCUUCCUGGUGCACCAGGUCAGCUAGUGGAGACAGAAGGAACUUCUCGUAGUCGAUGCGACAAGCACGACCCUGCCUCCUGGUGAGGAGCUCGAUCCAUAAAUAAUUAAGUUGCAGAUAGACGUCGCACGACGUACAACAUAGAAUGUACACAGCGAUCUCUAUUUUUUCGUAAAAAUUCGCAAUCGCAAGCAGGAUCGUCGCGACGCUUACAGAGACGUCAGGUAGCUAUCGACGCACCAUGCAGUAAAAUACCAAACGGCUAAAGCCACAACGCAUACGAUCCCGUCAACGAAGUCGACUUGAGCGACGCUUUGCAGUCCGCGAACUCUGUUACAAUUAUCGAGGGACGUUACCUGCGUUACGUAGGAGCGUCGCGAUGCUCGGCGUCCCACGUUUUGUUUCCGCGGAACAGAGGCGCACGUGGGAGCGCGAGCGAGCUCCGCGAUAGAAAUAUAAAAGUAAACGGCUCGACUGACUUGGCGUAUUCGCGCGCACCCGGCGGCGCGAGAGCUUCUCGCGUGGCGAAGGUCACUGCCUCGAGUGUCGAAAGAGAAUGAGAUAGAGAAAGACAGAAUAUACGUAUAUAUAAGAGAGAGAGAGAGAGCGCGAGAGAGAGAGAGAGAGAGAGAGAGAGAGAGAGAGAGAGAGAGAGAGAGAGAGAGAGAGAGAGAGAGAGAGAGAGAGAGAGAGAGAGAGGCAGGCCAACGUCAUAUAUAUAUAUGCACGCGCACACACUAAUCUAAGGCCGAGGCUGCCGCUUGCGCUUGCCAAACGGCCAAAUCCUGGCCCUGACACGAUUCCAUGGGGACCCACGCGUCAGGGGCCGGGCCUUGCCGAGGGAGGUCCUGCUCAGAUUCGUUAAAUUUGGAGAGAUAUUUUGAAAAUUCUCCAGACACUUAUGACCGGCAUUUCGGACAGGUCUCGCGUAACUGUAUAUUAAUAUUACGCCUUUCUCAGACUGCCAGUCACCGAUAAGAAUUUUAACGCUACCUAGCCGAUCCUCGUAGCGGCCCGUGAAUUUAAUUUUCUUUCUUUCAAUCGGAUUUGUUAACCCUGAUUGCCCGACGUGGGCGUAGGUGACGCGGAUAAAGAUAUGGGUUUCGAUCUGGGUAUGGGAAUUUCGUUUCCUUUUACGGCCUGUUCAAGGAAUUCGUUCUUCUCUCUCUUGAAGAAGAUACCACUACACGUUUCUCCGGGCAUUCUGUAAUGCAGACUUUGAUCUCGAUCCGCCGCUUGCCGUACGACGAAAUAAUCUUGGACGCGUCACGGGUCUGACGAGGGAGUCUACGUCAUGGAUAUACGAUAUAUCGUAAAUGGACGCUGAUGGCGUAAUGACAGAGAAGGAACUUGGUAAGCUGUAUGAUGUAAAAAUAAACGAGAAAUGAGA
This is a long non-coding RNA of Cephus cinctus (wheat stem sawfly), 2174 nucleotides long. RefSeq lists it as uncharacterized. The record is from RefSeq and is a predicted model, not a curated record. Lineage: Eukaryota; Metazoa; Arthropoda; Insecta; Hymenoptera; Cephidae. The transcript has 3 exons.